This 2218-nucleotide long non-coding RNA is filed under the name Aotus nancymaae (Ma's night monkey). Its description in RNAcentral is "lncRNA (ENSANAG00000039254.1)". Lineage: Eukaryota; Metazoa; Chordata; Mammalia; Primates; Aotidae. The record is from RNAcentral.
CAAAGUUGCAGACGGCCCGGCCAGUCGUGCAGUGCGCUGCUUCGGCCCCGCGCAGAGAGAAGCAAAGAAAGCUCCGCGGGGGCUCUGUUGGCUUCUUCGCGAGUGACAGCGAUGCUUUCCCAGUUGGAAGACCUGAGCCCUGCUCCUUUGCGAUCCGCCGAAGGCUGCAGGGAGCAUCCUCAUCCAUUUGGGCACCCCCGUCCAGGAAGAGCCCGGCCAUCCCUUUCCAGCCUGGAUCCUUCAGAGGUGAAUUUUCUUCUAUGGAUUCCGAUUUGCUCGGUCUGACCAGCCUGGGCAAUACAGCAUCGCGUGGAACCAGUGCCUCUGGGCACGCUAGCUUCACGCCGGCUCCGCCUCGCCAGCAAGCGCGUUCCCAGUGUCUGACAAUUAUUCCCAUUACUCAAAGUAAGGAGAAUACCAAGACAAUGAGAAGGAGGAAAUCUUCACAAUUUUCUGAGCUCUGUAAAGAAACGUUUUUCAGAUCUCUGUCUUUCAAGAGUCCAAGAAUUUGAACAGAUGGAAAUGUAUGUGAACCGUGUGGACGUUGUAUGUUCCAGUGCAGCUCAUCAGGCCUCUUGAUCCCUUAGCAACUAACUGCUUUGUAACAUAGCACUGCAGAGAGCUUUUCAACGAGUCUUAAUUGAGCCAAGUCCACUCCAGAGGUAUAGACAUAGAGCUUGACCUUUGAUUUCGAGCGAGACAAGAGCUACCUGUUGACGCAUGACUCAAACUGCUUUCACCGCAGUGUCUGAAGAAUAACAAAAAUUGGAGCUGAGACUGACCUAACUAGAUGAUAACGGAUGGGGGCGGUGUGAAAAGUAUGAAUGCUGUGACCAGAUUACUCUAAUUUGUAGCUAAAUUUGGGAUGUUACUUUCUUAAAAAGUGCAUCCAGCAUCCUGUAGAAGCACUAAAAUUCAGGUGAGUCAGCAGGUCAGAAAAAAACAGUACAUGCUUUUUCCAACUGCUAUUUUUAAAAACAGUAAAUACUAUUGAAUCCAAAGCAUAUAUACUGCUUUAAAAAAUGAUUCUAAUGCUUUAGCAAAGGUAAUGCUUUUAUUUUAUUAUGAGCUGCCCACGUGUACUUCUUAGGUUGUGAAUCAUUCGAGCAAUUUUUCAGUUAGAGAACAUUUUAUUCUAGAAUGAAAAUAAUACCAAAUGCCCCUCAAUAGUGUGGGGUUAGCAUAAACAUGGAAUGACAGGCAGUUUAAUAUAAAACCAGAAUAAUGACAUAAUCUUACAGUACAUUGAAGCUGCUAUAUGAUUUCUUAUGCAUAGCAUUUUGGUUUUCAUGAGCAUAAUUUCAGGGACCAUAUUUUGAUGAGUCACAGUCUUGUUUACAGUGCUAACAUUUUGUUCUCUCUUGUAACUAUGAUGGGAGUCUGAAGAAAUUUUCAACUCAUUCACCAAAGCUGCUACUUACUGUCUGCUGCUGAUAUCUUUGCAGAAAGGAUUAUGGAUAGCUCUGGGUUUCAGAAUCUUAAAGAUAUUUCCUAACCAAAGUGUAAGGGCCUAAAAGCCCUUAAUCAAGUUUCUAAUCACAAACAAGAUGGUCCUACAUUAAGGGCCAUUUGAGAGUAGCAUUCGUGUCAGUGUAUCUUUGUCCCAUAUUACAUAGGAUUCUUAUUUUAGCAUCAAAGGCAAUUCUUUCCUUGUAGAUUGAAGAGAAGCCUAACCAGUCUGUUAAGAAACAGAACACAGUAGCUACCAUUUUAUUCUCUCUCCCACAUGGCUCUGGAACCUUUUUAUUUUGAUGAACAGCUACAGAGUGAAUGCCAUUUUACAAGUUAGUUCAUUUCAUCCUCAUAACAACCUUGUGACGUAGUUAUUAUUGUUAUCUUGAAUGCACAGAGGAGAAAAUGAGACACUGAGUGGGGCACAGAGGAGAAAAUGAGACACUGAGUGGGGCACAGGGAUUGCUCCAGGCCACGCAGCCAGCAGGAGGCAGAGCCCAGGUUUAAAUGCAGAUUACUCGGCUCCCCAGUCCACACACUCACAGGAAGCUACACUCCUUGCCCAAGCAUCAGACAGGAGCUAAGAGAAACAAGGCCAUCAGAUGUCUACUUUCUUCCCUUCUUAGAUCUCCAACAGUGCUGGAAGGACUAAACAAAUGGCCGAGAGUCAUUCCAUUUUGGACAUACUGAAAACACCCCAUGGAAUUUUUAUCCUGACUUUUUUCUGCUUGUGUGGCAUUUAUGUUUAAAUAAAAGAGAAUUCCAU